This 206-nucleotide long non-coding RNA is filed under the name Setaria viridis. RNAcentral describes it as "long non-coding RNA (SVIR_LNC004491)". Lineage: Eukaryota; Viridiplantae; Streptophyta; Magnoliopsida; Poales; Poaceae. The record is from RNAcentral.
GGGGAGGCCAAGUGCCACUUGCAGCAGACUCAAGGGCGUCAACAUCACCUGAAAAGAUGUGCCACAACAAGGCUGAGCGACUAUGCUCAACAAGACUUAACCGACCGGUGGUUCUAAUCCACCAACACCUAGACAUGCAAGCUCUUAGGCUCUGGGGUUUGUUUUGCCAAAAGCGACUAUAGUAAGUCCUUACUUUCAAUAUUUUA